UCUCUUGCAGACGAGCCUGACGAGCCGUGUUUUGUGAGUAUGAUCGGUGACGUGGCAAGCUAUGAUUCGUUCAUAUUUUUGUAUACAUUCUAAUUUUAUUCGACUUCAUUUUUUCGCGAGACAACUACACAUUCAUUUCCUCUUCUCUUCACCGAGGUCUCGAUUCUGCGGCGAAAUCGGUUCACUGUCUCGUAUCUAACCGACGAAUCGGUUCACUGUCUCCGCCGUGAUGAGUAAGGAAAAAGUAGUGUCUUUGUCGAUGCAGUCAAUAUCGAUGACGAUGAUCGAAUCAGCACACUCCCAUACAAGGUGUUGCUUAAUAUCUUAUCGAGACUGCCCAUCAAUGAAGCCGUGAGGACAAAAGUUCUAUCAAUUCGAUGGGUGGAUUUGGAUCCGGGAAUCUUGAUGUUCUGAUGAAAUUAAUAUUUGAAAGAGAAAACCCUUUGCAAACUGUUUGCCUGUUUGUUUUUUUUCUUGUUAUAAUAAAUUGGAAAUUCUAUAUUUGGUUCGAAGAAUUAUCUUUGGUAUUUGUUUUUAUGUUUGAGAUGUUUGGGAUCUAAUUUUAUCAAUUUUCAUAUUAUAUGAAUGUCUUGUGGA
Eutrema salsugineum is the source of this 597-nucleotide long non-coding RNA. RefSeq lists it as uncharacterized. The transcript is spliced from 2 exons. The record is from RefSeq and is a predicted model, not a curated record. NCBI's taxonomy places the organism in Eukaryota, Viridiplantae, Streptophyta, Magnoliopsida, Brassicales, Brassicaceae.